This 73-nucleotide transfer RNA is filed under the name Wallacidia oculata. Its description in RNAcentral is "tRNA-Cys". The record is from RNAcentral. Lineage: Eukaryota; Metazoa; Arthropoda; Insecta; Hymenoptera; Mutillidae.
AAUUUUAUAGUUUAAUUAAAAUAUGAGAUUGCAAUUCUUGAGAUUCUGUAGGAUAAAAUUUAUUAUAAAAUAA